AAAGAAUUAGUUAAUUUAUAACAUAGGUUUGUCAAGCCUAAAUUACAACCAGUAUUCUUUG
RNAcentral lists this transfer RNA (61 nucleotides) under Epimeria cornigera. RNAcentral describes it as "tRNA-Asp". Lineage: Eukaryota; Metazoa; Arthropoda; Malacostraca; Amphipoda; Epimeriidae. The record is from RNAcentral.